This 275-nucleotide ribosomal RNA is filed under the name uncultured bacterium. RNAcentral's name for it is "partial 16S ribosomal RNA". It matches the Rfam family "Bacterial small subunit ribosomal RNA", at positions 523 to 796 of the family's 1533-position model. The record is from RNAcentral.
ACACGUAGGGAGCAAGCGUUGUCCGGAUUUAUUGGGCGUAAAGAGCUCGUAGGCGGGUUUGUAAGUCGGAUGUGAAAACUCAGGGCUCAACCCUGAGACGCCAUCCGAUACUGCAAUGACUAGAGUCCGGUAAUGGAGCAUGGAAUUCCUGGUGUAGCGGUGGAAUGCGCAGAUAUCAGGAGGAACACCAGUGGCGAAGGCGGUGCUCUGGGCCGGUACUGACGCUGAGGAGCGAAAGCAUGGGGAGCAAACAGGAUUAGAAACCCUAGUAGUCC